RNAcentral lists this long non-coding RNA (260 nucleotides) under Sorghum bicolor (sorghum). RNAcentral describes it as "long non-coding RNA (SBIC_LNC003634)". Lineage: Eukaryota; Viridiplantae; Streptophyta; Magnoliopsida; Poales; Poaceae. The record is from RNAcentral.
ACUGAGGGAGGAGGGGCGUGGUGUGCCUGGUUUUAUAGGGUUUCGUGCAUUUAUCGCGCGUACCUUGUUAGGUUAGAAGUUAUUUUCGAGUUAUGGAUGGUUGUUGUGAUUGUUGUGGUAGUUGGUUCUAUUUUACAUGACUGCGGAUUUUCGUGGGGUUUGUUUUAUUUUCACAUUUUGUGUGCCAGAGGUCUGCUUGGAGGAGCAGGAUACCUUCGAUCUUUCCUUGGUGAAGGUUGUUUAACUCUUUUUUUAGGUGA